UUAAACCAUGUGUUCUAAUAGUCCGGAGUAUAAGACCUAGCAUUGUUCAAAUUCAUGAAGAAAGUCUCAAAUUCAUUAUUUUGCAUUGGUUUAUCAAUGAAAUUAAAAUAGAGGUGAGACCCCAGCAAAAUACCUUUUUGUUUCCGAGAAAAUUAUCAAUAAAUUUUGCCAUAUAUUUUAAUAGUAAAGGCACAGGGAUCCCAUUUCAAAUAAAAAGAAAAUCGACAAAACAAUUUAGUUCUCAUCGCAUUUAUAUCCUCUUGGAAGUAAGUAUUAUUAAGUGAUAUAUAAUUCGUA
Xenia sp. Carnegie-2017 is the source of this 297-nucleotide long non-coding RNA. RefSeq lists it as uncharacterized. The record is from RefSeq and is a predicted model, not a curated record. The transcript has 3 exons. Lineage: Eukaryota; Metazoa; Cnidaria; Anthozoa; Malacalcyonacea; Xeniidae.